CCACUAAUAACCCUUUCAUCAUUGUACCGGAUGAGUUCCACAUAAGCUUUGAAUGUUACUUCUACACAGGCAACGGGGAAGCAAGGGCCAGGCUCGUCAUGCAGGCUGUCCCCUCUGCACUGGGUAGUUUCUGCACGUUUGGAGUCUUGUAUUCAUCCCAGCCACUAUUAUGUCACCACUGUGUUUUCCUACUUAUAGUCCCCUCUUAUUCUGAGCCCACUCCAGUGCUAUAGCAUAAAGCAUAUCAAAUCUAAAGAACAAACCUCAUCCUAAGUGAACUUAAUUUCAAGACUCUUGUCCGUGUUUCAGAAGAUGCUCCAAACAGAACAGCGGAGAGAGCAGGGCACAGUUUGUACUUUAGAAGACAAGGACAUACAUCAUGUUUCUUAUUUUUAAAAAAAAAAAUCCUCCAUGGUUUUAAAUUUAUGAUAACGAGAACUUCUGCACCCAGGUUAACAAAGAACCAUGCUGUAUACUUCUACAGCCGUGUGUGAUUUAUUUAAUUCUCUUUUGUACUUUAGAUGAGUCCCAGAAAUUCUAAUAAAAAACACUGUCUUGUAUUUAGAAACAAAAGGAUCACUCUACUUGUUAACUAUCCAUUUGUUUCCAUAGGUUUUAGUACUUUUAGGUCAUUUUUUUAAUUUUAUUCAUAAACAUUUGUAUUUUCCGUUUUCAUUUGAUUUGUAUAUUUACAUAUUUUUACAAUAAACCAUUUAUUUUCUCCUUUG
This 728-nucleotide long non-coding RNA is filed under the name Rattus norvegicus (Norway rat). RNAcentral's name for it is "long non-coding RNA NONRATT006692". Lineage: Eukaryota; Metazoa; Chordata; Mammalia; Rodentia; Muridae. The record is from RNAcentral.